UCCACUCCUCUCCCUCAUUUUUUUUUUCUCUUUUCUUCUUGUUUCUUUUCAUCUCUUCUUCUGUUUCUCUACUCUCUGCCUCUCGCCUGACUCUCUCUCUCAUUUUUUUUUCCUUAAACAUUCAUUACACAAAAUCUUUGAUCCACCAAAAUCUAUUAGGUUUUGGACCCUUGUUCUCGAGAUAAAAGUGAAGAGCUUGGCGAGGAUUUCAUUUUGUGCGAUGGAGAUCUUUUUUUGGCACCAUCAAAUUUGGGCAUUUUCUUCCUUCUCCUCUUCUAGAACUUGAGGUGAUUGCGAUGUGCAUCUGCCGAAGUGAAGGUAAGGAGGAACUUUUGGAGCACAAAGCUCGAUUUUUAUUUGUUUUCUUUUUGUAAGCCAAGGGUUAUUCGUGUUUGGGUGUGAACACCACUUUUGUGUAACCGGGCAAGGCCUUAGAACUUGUAGCCAAUAGGGCAUUAUUUGGUUCUUAGCUUGCUUUAAAUUUCUGUCAUCACUUGCCAUAGGUUCAUACUUUAGAAAUAGUGAAUGUAUGAAUGCAUGUGAUUUGUUUUAUGAAUCUUACUAGAAAGUUAUGAAUAGAAAGGAAUGGGGGGUUUUGGUCCUUACAUUAAUGAAUGUAGUAUUUAUUAUUC
Long non-coding RNA from Camellia sinensis, 632 nucleotides. RefSeq lists it as uncharacterized. The record is from RefSeq and is a predicted model, not a curated record. NCBI's taxonomy places the organism in Eukaryota, Viridiplantae, Streptophyta, Magnoliopsida, Ericales, Theaceae.